Molecule: long non-coding RNA, 1170 nt
Filed under: Lathyrus oleraceus (garden pea)
Lineage: Eukaryota; Viridiplantae; Streptophyta; Magnoliopsida; Fabales; Fabaceae
Description: Pisum sativum (pea) long non-coding RNA (PSAT_LNC000975)
Source: RNAcentral
AGAGAGAGAGAGAGAGAGAGAGAGAGAGAGAGAGAGAGAGAGAGAGAGAGAGAGAAGGCACAUAAAUUCCAAGUGAGCAAAGCACACCAAACUUCAAAAUUCACCAACUUACCUUCACUAAAAAGCCUCAAUCACUCCACUCUUCAAGAUUUUGUUCUGAGUUAUGAACAAACUUCUAAAGAUUGUGUGAACUGUGUACUUAACAUUUACCAUUGCAUCCACAUCUUAGAGCUUGCACCAAAAUAGAGCAACACAAUUGCAGCGAUUCCAUGUUCAAUUCAUUGAGAGUUUGGAAGGAGAGGAGUGGAAAAAGAAGUAGAAUAAGGAAGUGUGUAGAAAGAAGCAAGAAAAACACAAUACCUGAAAGUUUGAUCCUCAACAGAAACAUCAAACUCGCCAGAAAGCCACGUUAUUCGAUCAAGUGUUUUCCUCUACUUUUUGCACAAGAUCUUGAUACCAUUAUGUAGCCCUGAGUAUGCUAAACAUUUCCCCCAUAUCAAUUUGAUCGAAUUCACAUCCAUGAUCAUUUAAUUUUGAAAUUAGGUUAACUAAUAUUCUUCAUGUUCUUGCUCGAUCCAUGAUUUACGCAUAUUUUCAUGGAAUAAUUGUUCAAGUCGCUCCACUAUGUCACGUUGAGCUUGUUGCCAUGGUUAAAAACCCGUAUUUGUUUGAAUUGAACCGAAUCGAACUCUUCUUUGUAUAAACACGAAGCUUUCAUUUUCUCUUUGCUUGAGCUUGUGUGUUGACUGCAAAUUACCUAUAUGAAGUUCCCUAUUGGUAUACGUUAAUAUUUCAAUGUGUAUUGCUGCAAUUUUGUGGAUUUUGUUCAUGUUUUAUUUUGGAUUUGCAAGAUAGAUUAGAGAACUAAGAAGAAGGGAAUGAAAUGAUUUCCCUGAAUGGAUAAUAGCCAUAAGAUGGAUAUGAUGGUUUGAUUUUUUUUUUAAUUCAAAUGAUGCAUGUGUCAUCACCUAUUUGGUCAGUUUUAGAUAUUUGAAGAGGGGAUCUCAUACAAGAUCCCCAUGCGUGACCACUCUAUGAUUUUAACCAUGGCCUUCUGAUUGGAUUGAUUGACCAAAUUAUUCACAUCAUGUGACCUUGAUGCACCUGAUCAAAGAGUGCAAUCUGAGCCUUCUAAUAUAGAUUAAGUGGUCGUGCGUAGAUCAUAGCCAA